GUCUAUGGCCAUACUACCCUGAAUGCAUCGGACCUCAUCUGAUCUCAGAAUCUAAGCAGGGUCAGACCUGGUUAAAGUACUUGGAUGGGAAACAACUACCAUUAUAAUGA
This 110-nucleotide ribosomal RNA is filed under the name Fukomys damarensis (Damara mole-rat). The record is from RNAcentral. Lineage: Eukaryota; Metazoa; Chordata; Mammalia; Rodentia; Bathyergidae.